This 460-nucleotide ribosomal RNA is filed under the name uncultured bacterium. RNAcentral describes it as "partial 16S ribosomal RNA". It matches the Rfam family "Bacterial small subunit ribosomal RNA", at positions 338 to 795 of the family's 1533-position model. The record is from RNAcentral.
CCUACGGGAGGCUGCAGUGAGGAAUAUUGGUCAAUGGACGAGAGUCUGAACCAGCCAAGUAGCGUGAAGGAUGACUGCCCUAUGGGUUGUAAACGUCUUUUAUAUGGGAGUAAAAUGUUCCACGUGUGGGAUUUUGUAUGUACCAUAUGAAUAAGGAUCGGCUAACUCCGUGCCAGCAGCCGCGGUAAUACGUAGGAUCCGAGCGUGAUCCGGAUUUAGUGGGUUUAAAGGGAGCGUAGGUGGAUUGGUAAGUAAGUUGUGAAAGUUUGCGGCUCAACCGUAAAAUUGCAGUUGAUACUGGCAGUCUUGAGUACAGUAGAGGUGGGCGGAAUUCGUGGUGUAUCGGUGAAAUGCUUAGAUAUCACGAAGAACUCCGAUUGCGAAGGCAGUUCACUAGACUACAACUGACACUGAGGCUCGAAAGUGUGGGUAUCAAACAGGAUUAGAUACCCCUGUAGUC